Molecule: ribosomal RNA, 454 nt
Filed under: uncultured Bacteroidota bacterium
Lineage: Bacteria; Pseudomonadati; Bacteroidota
Description: bacterial SSU rRNA
Rfam family: Bacterial small subunit ribosomal RNA
Source: RNAcentral
GAUGAACGCUAGCGGCAGGCCUAACACAUGCAAGUCGUGGGGUAACAGGGUAGCAAUAUCGCUGACGACCGGCGCACGGGUGAGUAAGGCAUAUGCAACCCUCCUCUGACUGGGGGAUAGCUUCCGGAAACGGAAAUUAAUACCGCAUAACAUUCCGACAGGGCAUCCUGAUGGAAUUAAAGCUCCGGCGGUCAGAGAUGGGCAUAUGUGCCAUUAGCUAGUUGGUGAGGUAAUAGCUCACCAAGGCUACGAUGGCUAGGGGGUCUGAGAGGAUGAUCCCCCACACUGGUACUGAGACACGGACCAGACUCCUACGGGAGGCAGCAGUGAGGGAUAUUGGGCAAUGGGCGCAAGCCUGACCCAGCCAUGCCGCGUGAAGGAUGAAUGCCCUAUGGGUUGUAAACUUCUUUUGUACGGGACGAAUCUUCCGGACGUGUCCGGGACUGACAGUACC